Molecule: ribosomal RNA, 579 nt
Filed under: Triticum aestivum (bread wheat)
Lineage: Eukaryota; Viridiplantae; Streptophyta; Magnoliopsida; Poales; Poaceae
Description: partial small subunit ribosomal RNA
Source: RNAcentral
AUGGCGUCGCUUCUGUCGCCCAACACAUUCGCUGCGACCACGGCGAGGCCGACCGGCAGGAGGGGCCGCCUUACUCCCAGUGUCACCGCCAUGGCAACCAAGGGCCCGAAGCCCAGCUCCGGCGGCACGAAAAGAUCGUCGGGCACUACCACGGUGUUCCCGGUGGGGAAGCCCGCGGGCCCGCCGCGGCCGGCGACGACGAAGGGGUCGGCGCCCGUGAAGCUGCUGACGAACGUGGAGAAGCUGCGGCUGCUGACCAAGGCGGAGAAGGCGGGACUGCUGUCCGCGGCGGAGCGCGCCGGGCUGUCGCUGUCAGCGGUCGAGCGGCUCGGGCUGCUGUCCAAGGCGGAGGAGCUCGGGGUGCUGUCGGCCGCCACCGACCCCGGCACCCCCGGCUCGCUGCAGGGCCUCGCGCUCCUGCUGCUGGCCGCCGGCCCCGCCGUCGUCUUCCUCGUCCCCGAGCAGUACCCCUGGGAGGUGGCGCUCCAGGCCGUCGCCGCCCUCGUCUGCGUCGCCGGGGGCUCCGCCGCGUUCGCCGCGUCCAGCUUCGUGUCCAGGCUCCAGGGCUCCUCUGGCUGA